UUUCCGUAGGUGAACCUGCGGAAGGAUCAUUGUCGGAACCUGCCCAGCAGAACGACCCGCGAACUUGUAUAAACAACUGGGGGCGGGGGGCGUUCUCGCCCCGUGCCCCCGAACGGCGGGGAGACACUCGUGCCUUCUUGCCGAACAACGAACCCCGGCGCGGUCUGCGCCAAGGAACUUCAACUAAAGAGUGCCUCCGGUCGCCUCGGAAACGGCGUGCGUGCCGGAGGCGAAUCUUGUGCAAAACCAUAACGACUCUCGGCAACGGAUAUCUCGGCUCUCGCAUCGAUGAAGAACACAGC
This 302-nucleotide unclassified non-coding RNA is filed under the name plant metagenome. Its description in RNAcentral is "partial contains small subunit ribosomal RNA, internal transcribed spacer 1, and 5.8S ribosomal RNA". The stretch from base 254 to 302 matches the Rfam family "5.8S ribosomal RNA", at positions 1 to 49 of the family's 154-position model. The record is from RNAcentral.